Long non-coding RNA from Maniola jurtina (meadow brown), 171 nucleotides. RefSeq lists it as uncharacterized. The record is from RefSeq and is a predicted model, not a curated record. The transcript has 3 exons. Lineage: Eukaryota; Metazoa; Arthropoda; Insecta; Lepidoptera; Nymphalidae.
UGACAGCUAGAAUGCCACGAUCGAAAUCUGAUUGGUUAAUGCUGUCUCACUAUUGGCUACAAUGCAUUGCUGCAACAAGAAUACAUAAAUUCAGCCAAUCACAAGAAUCAAUACUGUAAUAAUGAUUGAUGCAAUUUUUCCGUAAUCGACCAGCUGAUUAGUGUAUUGUGC